RNA transcript from Centruroides sculpturatus (bark scorpion), 1153 nucleotides. RefSeq lists it as uncharacterized. NCBI's taxonomy places the organism in Eukaryota, Metazoa, Arthropoda, Arachnida, Scorpiones, Buthidae. The transcript is spliced from 6 exons. The record is from RefSeq and is a predicted model, not a curated record.
UCUAGCGACAAUUAUCAACACUAUUUUUCUUCCUUUUCACAAUGAAAACGAAUAAAAAUAAUACUUAAAACGUUAUUCAAAGCGGCCAUUUUUUUAUUAGUCACUUAACUUAUUUGUUGCCAUUGUAACAAGUGAAGCGUUAUUGAAAAUUAAUUAUUGAGAUUUUUUAAAAACAAAAUUUUGUUUUACAAAUUUACAGUAAAUCUUUCAACACUAUAAAUGUUGGAAUGGAUCAUUUUUAUUCUUUUCGAAAUUUCCGCUGGUUCAAUUCUAUUUUAAACGGGGUUAUUGGCCUUAACGGUUUCAUUUUGAGGUUAUCAAAUACACCAUCUUCGUUCAAGACUUUGACCAUAAACGGAGGAAGAAUGGUAUAUGCUGAUCUUGUAGGACCAAAGAAUGGAGUCAUUCAUGUUAUAGACAGAGUUCUUUUCCCUUUCGGGGAUCGAAAUUUGCUCCAAACUAUCAAAGACUGUAAUAAAUUUGAUGGAUUCUUAUCAUUGGUCAAAUUUGCGGAAUUAAACGAUAUACUAACUGAUGUUGGACCUUAUACUAUCUUUUUACCUACCAACGACGCUCUAGCUAAAAUGCCCAAGGACGAAUAUUCUAUUUACAAAUCUAACAAAACAGCCUUGAAAGAUUUCCUCCUGUACCACAUGGUAUUCGGAGCUUACUUUAGUUCUGAUUUAAGGGAUGGUCAUUACUUGGAAACAGGGCAACAGAGUGCUUCGAUUCGAGUUAGUGUCAGAGUAGAUGGAUGCCAAAGGCGCUUGGUAGAAGUAAAUGCUUCUCCAGUAUAUCUGACUGAUAUUCCAGCAUCUAAUGGGGUCAUUCAUAUUCUGGACUGGGUUCUAUCACCCAAUGACUUGGAUUGGUGCAGCAGUUUUUCACCAUAAUAUAUGAAAAAAAUUAAUUUGUGGUUAAGAUUCUUCCACAGUAUAUGAAGAUUUAAUAAUUAUUGUGAAAUUCAGAAAAUGUUUCUAACUUAAAUCACUAAAGAGGGGAAAAGAAAAGUUUACUUAUAUUAUUUUAUAUGUAAUUUUUACUAAAAGAAGCAAGAAUAAUUUCAAAAAAAAAAAAAGAAUUAACUUUAUUCAAGUGCUACACACCGAUUGUUAAUGGUAUGGAUAUGAACGAUGAGGAAAAGUCAUGAAAA